UCAAAAUUAAACAAUACAAUCUUGAAAAAAAAAAAACCCUACAACAAUUUAAAACAGCUUCUUUGAAACCCUUUUAAAUCGAUCAGUUUUUGCACAAACUAUAGAAAACAGAGAGGUGAAGGUGAUAUAUACGAAGGUGUGAAGAAACAGCAGGAAACAUGCAAAACUUUUUUCUGGGCAUAAUCUUAGUAGGAAAGGAAAAAAUUCAAAACAAAAACACAAAAACAAUACAAAAACAAAAACAACAACAAAAAAUCAAAGCAUCACAUUUUGCUGUGGAGACUGUUGGAACAAGCAUGGGGCUGAGGGGAAGGGGCAGGCGGGAUCCAGGACUCCCCACAGAGUCGCUCCAGGGAAGAACCACAAAAGAAAAAGAAAAAGGGCUGGCUGGGGCCCAAAGUGCAGCCUGCGGUCAAAAAGGAAAGGGGGUUCAGGUGCUCUCUGCAGUUGAGAACUCAGAAGAAAAACAAAAGAAAGAACAAUACAUGCGGUCUCCUCAAGCCCCACAGACUGUAUCAGCAAAAUGUGCUCAGGAGCCUCAAAGGUUUUAGUGACAUCUUUUAUUUCAUUGUUUACUUCAAAGUUGUCUUUAAAACUAAGCACACAGAGAAACAAAGCCUAGAAACGGACUGGCUGUGUGUUCACAGAAAUACAAACACCACGCGGUAUGUGCUAGUAGGGCUGCUCUGAAGACAAUUACAAAGAAUUGGAAUCACAAAAUCAAGUGGUUAUCUUAUGAAGUUCUAGAAAAAUAGAUUUUUUUUUAUAUUCAAAUGCAAGUUUAAAUAUUUCCCCUUCAGCAGUCGUUCUAGCAAAACCAAUUUGGCAGCACAAAAGGGAAAAAAAAAGGAAAGAAAAAAAAAAAAGAAGAAAGAAACAAACAUAAUAAUACACAUCAGCAUCAAAGGUCAACACAAGGUCAAAGGUGAGAGUUCAAGCAUCAGAGAAGCUGAAGAGACAGGGAUUUGGACGAUGUACUUGACGCCACAUCGACAUGCUUUAGGCACAACGAUGAACAAACGGCAGGAAUCUAGAAAAAAAAACAAACCAGAAAGAGGGAGACCCACUGAGUUACACAGAGCAAUACAUCCAAACAAAGAGAGAGAGAACAGGAACACUCACUGUGUGUACAGCCCUGAAAUGAGGUGGGCGGGCAGGGGUUGGGUAAUGACAGGGAACUUUUGCACAUGCUAACAAUGGACACAGGGAAAAGUCAAAAAGGACAUGGAGGACACCAAGAACACAUCUAAUUGCCAGAGACAGAAGGGAACCUAAGGCUUGGAUUUUCCAUGAAGCGCCCAACUCCUAAGAGAAGAAGGUCUCCAGGCGAGCAGAGCCUCAGCUUCUCUCCCCACUCCCUGGUCACAACCCAAGGGGAAGCAGAAGAUGCUGGCUGGGGUGGGGAAAAUUUUUCAGGGAAGAGGACCAGAAUUUCUGCUCAAUCUUAUGGGGAUGGCCCUUUGUUCCCAGAAAUCCAAGCUCUUAGCUUCCACCCAGGCCCUGGCCACUCAAGUGGCACCCAGGAGACAGUGGUCUGGCUGCAUUCAAGGCAAAUCAAUUUCGUGAUAUAACCCGAGUAAGAAACAAAACUACAGCAGAAAACACAUUGUAAGUGAAACCUUCACACAACAGAAAAGGAUUGCUUAAGACUUGACAGCGAGUCUCCACUCUGAGCUGAGCCCUUUCACACGUGAGACUUGUAGGGGAGCAGCUUCUUCACAAAACCAUCUUUGGCCUGGGGAAAGAACUGUGCUCAAGGGCAGUGCUACUGCUGUGCUAACUCACUGGGCAGGGGGAGGAGAGAACAGAGAAGUGCAUGGUCUCACCAGCUGGCUGCUCAAGCAGCCCAGGACCCUGCUGGGGCAAGCAUUCCUUUUAGAAAAGAGAACCCAUCAGCAGGUAUGAAGCCCUCAGGGUCUGGUAUCAAAGGUGGGUGGAUUGCACCUUGGCCUCUUAUGUCAUUAGGAAAGGGGUUUCAUAAGGUCCCAGAGCCCAGGACAAAUCCAUGGACAAAUAAUGGUGAGAUGGGGGAAGGCGGGGAGAAGAGGGGGAUGUGGGAAGGGAGUGGCGUUCUGGCUAAGGAGGAAGACAGAACAGAAGGCUAGGGAGCACAGCACCGGCAGCACCCUAUGGAGCACAGCUCUCUCCUCUGCCAAUUCACAGCAUUAACACCUUCCCCUUGGGCAAGUUAGCUGGGCUGCAAACGGGCCACAGAAAGUCAGUAGUUUCAAUCAUACACAGCACCCUGUGUGUAUAACAAUCACAUUCUGGAUUCUACAAAAUCCUGGCCUUUUCCAGAGAUAUAAUUUAGGUAAUAAAUAUUCUCCACCCCGGAGCUGUAUAAAACUUCUAUAAAAAUAGAAACGACAUUCUUGGUUCCAGCCGGUUGGGAUUCAGAACAGCGCC
This 2406-nucleotide long non-coding RNA is filed under the name Pongo abelii (Sumatran orangutan). RNAcentral describes it as "lncRNA (ENSPPYG00000036386.1)". The record is from RNAcentral. Lineage: Eukaryota; Metazoa; Chordata; Mammalia; Primates; Hominidae.